Molecule: ribosomal RNA, 499 nt
Filed under: uncultured Glomeromycotina
Lineage: Eukaryota; Fungi; Glomeromycota
Description: partial small subunit ribosomal RNA
Rfam family: Eukaryotic small subunit ribosomal RNA
Source: RNAcentral
CCAAUAGCGUAUAUUAAAGUUGUUGCAGUUAAAAAGCUCGUAGUUGAAUUUCGGGAUCAAUUUAUUGGUCGUGCAAUCGUACGUACUGGUAUUAUUGAUUCCUACCUUCUGACGAACCAUGAUGUCAUUAAUUUGGUGUCAUGGGGAAUCAGGACUGUUACUUUGAAUAAAUUAGAGUGUUUAAAGCAGGCUCACGCUUGAAUACAUUAGCAUGGAAUAACGAAAUAGGACGUUUGAUUCUAUUUUGUUGGUUUCUAGGAUCGACGUAAUGAUUAAUAGGGAUAGUUGGAGGCAUUAGUAUUCAAUUGUCAGAGGUGAAAUUCUUGGAUUUAUUGAAGACUAACUACUGCGAAAGCAUUUGCCAAGGAUGUUUUCAUUAACCAAGAACGAAAGUUAGGGGAUCGAAGACGAUCAGAUACCGUCGUAGGCUUAACCAUAAACUAUGCCGACUAGGGAUCGGAUGAUGUUAAUUUUUUAAUGACUCAUUCGGCGCCUUACG